This 116-nucleotide ribosomal RNA is filed under the name Pteropus alecto (black flying fox). Lineage: Eukaryota; Metazoa; Chordata; Mammalia; Chiroptera; Pteropodidae. The record is from RNAcentral.
GUCUAUGGCCAUGCCGCCCUGAACAAGCCCGAUGUCUGAUCUCGGAAGCUAAGCAGAGCUGGGCCUGGUUAGUACUUGGAUGGGAGACCAGCUAGGAAGACCAUGUGCUGUAGGCA